GGCGGGCGGGGCGGGGGCACGGGGGGCCUACGGGAGGCAGCAGUGGGGAAUUUUGGACAAUGGGCGAAAGCCUGAUCCAGCAAUGCCGCGUGAGUGAAGAAGGCCUUCGGGUUGUAAAGCUCUUUUGUCAGGGAAGAAACGGUUGACUCUAAUACAGUUGGCUAAUCACGGUACCUUAAGAAUAAGCUACCGGC
RNAcentral lists this ribosomal RNA (194 nucleotides) under uncultured bacterium. Its description in RNAcentral is "partial 16S ribosomal RNA". It matches the Rfam family "Bacterial small subunit ribosomal RNA", at positions 302 to 497 of the family's 1533-position model. The record is from RNAcentral.